Molecule: ribosomal RNA, 449 nt
Filed under: uncultured bacterium
Lineage: Bacteria
Description: partial 16S ribosomal RNA
Rfam family: Bacterial small subunit ribosomal RNA
Source: RNAcentral
AAUGAACGCUGGCGGCAGGCCUAACACAUGCAAGUCGAACGGAUCCUUCGGGAUUAGUGGCGGACGGGUGAGUAACGCGUGGGAACAUACCCAAAGGUACGGAAUAGCCUCGGGAAACUGGGAGUAAUACCGUAUGUGCUCGAAAGAGAAAAGAUUUAUCGCCAAAGGAUUGGCCCGCGUUGGAUUAGGUAGUUGGUGGGGUAAUGGCCUACCAAGCCGACGAUCCAUAGCUGGUUUGAGAGGAUGAUCAGCCACACUGGGACUGAGACACGGCCCAGACUCCUACGGGAGGCAGCAGUGGGGAAUCUUAGACAAUGGGGGAAACCCUGAUCUAGCCAUGCCGCGUGAUCGAUGAAGGCCUUAGGGUCGUAAAGAUCUUUCAGGUGGGAAGAUAAUGACUGUACCACCAGAAGAAGCCCCGGCUAACUCCGUGCCAGCAGCCGCGGUAA